Molecule: transfer RNA, 524 nt
Filed under: Stutzerimonas stutzeri
Lineage: Bacteria; Pseudomonadati; Pseudomonadota; Gammaproteobacteria; Pseudomonadales; Pseudomonadaceae
Description: Pseudomonas stutzeri sequence contains ITS1
Rfam family: tRNA (bases 89-162)
Source: RNAcentral
ACCUGCGGCUGGAUCACCUCCUUAAUCGAAGACAUCAGCUUCUUCAUAAGUUCCCACACGAAUUGCUUGAUUCAUUGCGAAGACGAUUGGGUCUGUAGCUCAGUUGGUUAGAGCGCACCCCUGAUAAGGGUGAGGUCGGCAGUUCGAAUCUGCCCAGACCCACCAAUGUUGUGUGGGGCGCAGGCUUCAAGACAUUGGGGCCAUAGCUCAGCUGGGAGAGCGCCUGCCUUGCACGCAGGAGGUCAGCGGUUCGAUCCCGCUUGGCUCCACCACCACUCGUCAUGCUUUAGAGUUCAGAAAUGAACAUUUCUGCGUCAGCAGUUGAAUGUUGAUUUCUGGUCUUUACCAGUAUCGUUCUUUAAAAAUUUGGGUAUGUGAUAGAAAUAGACUGAGUGAUCACUUUCACUGGUGAUUGUUCAGGCUAAGGUAAAAUUUGCGAGUAGCUCGUAAGAGCAAAAUGCGGAUUUUCGGCGAAUGUCGUCUUCACGUUAUUAGACAAUAACCAGAUUGCUUGGGGUUAUAUG